AGGGAAUCUUCCACAAUGGACGCAAGUCUGAUGGAGCAACGCCGCGUGAGUGAAGAAGGUCUUCGGAUCGUAAAGCUCUGUUGUUGGUGAAGAAGGAUAGAGGCAGUAACUGGUCUUUAUUUGACGGUAAUCAACCAGAAAGUCACGGCUAACUACGUGCCAGCAGCCGCGGUAAUACGUAGGUGGCAAGCGUUGUCCGGAUUUAUUGGGCGUAAAGCGAGCGCAGGCGGAAUGAUAAGUCUGAUGUGAAAGCCCACGGCUCAACCGUGGAACUGCAUCGGAAACUGUCAUUCUUGAGUGCAGAAGAGGAGAGUGGAACUCCAUGUGUAGCGGUGGAAUGCGUAGAUAUAUGGAAGAACACCAGUGGCGAAGGCGGCUCUCUGGUCUGCAACUGACGCUGAGGCUCGAAAGCAUGGGUAGCGAACAGGAUUAGAUACCCUGGUAGUCCAUGCCGUAAACGAUGAGCGCUAGGUGUUGGGGACUUUCCGGUUCUCAGUGCCGCAGCAAA
RNAcentral lists this ribosomal RNA (508 nucleotides) under uncultured bacterium. Its description in RNAcentral is "partial 16S ribosomal RNA". It matches the Rfam family "Bacterial small subunit ribosomal RNA", at positions 356 to 855 of the family's 1533-position model. The record is from RNAcentral.